RNAcentral lists this ribosomal RNA (468 nucleotides) under uncultured bacterium. Its description in RNAcentral is "partial 16S ribosomal RNA". It matches the Rfam family "Bacterial small subunit ribosomal RNA", at positions 28 to 507 of the family's 1533-position model. The record is from RNAcentral.
GACGAACGCUGGCGGCGUGCUUAACACAUGCAAGUCGAACGGAAAGGCCCUGCUCUUGUGGGUUGCUCGAGUGGCGAACGGGUGAGUAACACGCGAGUAACCUGCCCUUGACUUUGGGAUAACUUCAGGAAACUGGGGAUAAUACCGGAUAGGAGCUCCUGCUGCAUGGUGGGGGUUGGAAAGUUUCGGCGGUUGGGGAUGGACUCGCGGCUUAUCAGCUUGUUGGUGGGGUAGUGGCUUACCAAGGCUUUGACGGGUAGCCGGCCUGAGAGGGUGACCGGCCACAUUGGGACUGCGAUACGGCGCAGACUCCUACGGGACGCAGCAGUGGGGAAUAUUGCACAAUGGGCGGAAGCCUGAUGCAGCAACGCCGCGUGCGGGAUGCCGGCCUUCGGGUUGUAAACCGCUUUCGCCUGUGACGAAGCGUGAGUGACGGUAAUGGGUAAAGAAGCACCGGCUAACUACGUG